RNAcentral lists this ribosomal RNA (256 nucleotides) under uncultured bacterium. Its description in RNAcentral is "partial small subunit ribosomal RNA". It matches the Rfam family "Bacterial small subunit ribosomal RNA", at positions 26 to 285 of the family's 1533-position model. The record is from RNAcentral.
AGGACGAACGCUGGCGGCGUGCUUAACACAUGCAAGUCGAGCGGAAAGGCCCUUCGGGGUACUCGAGCGGCGAACGGGUGAGUAACACGUGAGUAAUCUGCCCCUAGCUCUGGGAUAGCUCCGGGAAAACCGGGAUUAAAUACCAGAUACAACCACUUUAGACAUCUCUUGUGGUGGAAAGAAUUUCGGCUAGGGAUGAACUCGCGGCCUAUCAGCUUGUUGGUGAGGUAACGGCUCACCAAGGCGACGACGGGUA